RNAcentral lists this long non-coding RNA (407 nucleotides) under Sorghum bicolor (sorghum). RNAcentral describes it as "long non-coding RNA (SBIC_LNC000276)". Lineage: Eukaryota; Viridiplantae; Streptophyta; Magnoliopsida; Poales; Poaceae. The record is from RNAcentral.
AUACAUCUGGCACAGCAAGGCUAGCAACCCCUUUGUCAACUUGAGGAAGGAAUACAAGGGCAUCUUCUGGCAGGAGGACAUCAUCCCCUUCUUCCAGAACGUGACCAUCCCCAAGGAUUGCGACACUGUCCAGAAGUGCUACAUCUACCUCUCUGGACAGGUGAAGGAGAAGCUGGGCACGAUUGACCCCUACUUUGUCAAGCUCGCCGACGCCAUGGUCACCUGGAUUGAGGCCUGGGAUGAGCUGAACCCAGCUACCCCUGCCACCGAGAAUGGCAAGGCCAAGUAGAUGGGAGUUCCAGGGGUGCCUUCACUGCCCACUGAAGUGAAAAGAAAGUAUGAUUGGGUCCUGCCUAGGCCCCAUAGAUAUAGCUCUUUUUGAGAGGGAAGAGAGAUUAAUUCAGCAG